This 635-nucleotide ribosomal RNA is filed under the name Penicillium meleagrinum var. viridiflavum. RNAcentral's name for it is "eukaryotic LSU rRNA". It matches the Rfam family "Eukaryotic large subunit ribosomal RNA", at positions 1 to 649 of the family's 3401-position model. The record is from RNAcentral. Lineage: Eukaryota; Fungi; Ascomycota; Eurotiomycetes; Eurotiales; Aspergillaceae.
GGUUGACCUCGGAUCAGGUAGGGAUACCCGCUGAACUUAAGCAUAUCAAUAAGCGGAGGAAAAGAAACCAACCGGGAUUGCCUAGUAACGGCGAGUGAAGCGGCAAGAGCUCAAAUUUGAAAGCUGGCUCCUUCGGGGUCCGCAUUGUAAUUUGCAGAGGAUGCUUCGGGAGCGGUCCCCAUCUAAGUGCCCUGGAACGGGCCGUCAUAGAGGGUGAGAAUCCCGUCUGGGAUGGGGUGCCCGCGCCCGUGUGAAGCUCCUUCGACGAGUCGAGUUGUUUGGGAAUGCAGCUCUAAUUGGGUGGUAAAUUUCAUCUAAAGCUAAAUAUUGGCCGGAGACCGAUAGCGCACAAGUAGAGUGAUCGAAAGAUGAAAAGCACUUUGAAAAGAGAGUUAAACAGCACGUGAAAUUGUUGAAAGGGAAGCGCUUGCGAUCAGACUCGCCCGCGGGGUUCAGCCGGCAUUCGUGCCGGUGUACUUCCCCGUGGGCGGGCCAGCGUCGGUUUGGGCGGCCGGUCAAAGGCCCCUGGAAUGUAACGCCUCUCGGGGCGUCUUAUAGCCAGGGGUGCCAUGCGGCCUGCCCGGACCGAGGAACGCGCUUCGGCUCGGACGCUGGCAUAAUGGUCGUAAGCGACC